GGGUCAGGAUGGGGUCCUGGUGGCCCUCGCGGACUUCAAAUCCGGCUGCGAGGCACUAGUAAUGUCUUGGGUGAGUUCGAUUCUCACACUGGCCCGCCA
Molecule: transfer RNA, 99 nt
Filed under: Candidatus Delongbacteria bacterium
Lineage: Bacteria; Candidatus Delongiibacteriota
Description: tRNA-Sec
Rfam family: Selenocysteine transfer RNA
Source: RNAcentral